GACGAACGCUGGCGGCGUGCCUAAUACAUGCAAGUCGAGCGAAUUUACGAGAGCUUGCUCUCGUAAAUUAGCGGCGGACGGGUGAGUAACACGUGGGCAACCUGCCUAUAAGACUGGGAUAACUUCGGGAAACCGGAGCUAAUACCGGAUAAUUCACAUCUACUCAUGUAGAUGUGCUGAAAGACGGUUUACGCUGUCACUUAUAGAUGGGCCCGCGGCGCAUUAGCCUAGUUGGUGAGGUAACGGCUCACCAAGGCCACGAUGCGUAGCCGACCUGAGAGGGUGAUCGGCCACACUGGGACUGAGACACGGCCCAGACUCCUACGGGAGGCAGCAGUAGGGAAUCUUCCGCAAUGACGAAAGUCUGACGGAGCAACGCCGCGUGAGUGAUGAAGGUUUUCGGAUCGU
This 408-nucleotide ribosomal RNA is filed under the name uncultured bacterium. RNAcentral's name for it is "bacterial SSU rRNA". It matches the Rfam family "Bacterial small subunit ribosomal RNA", at positions 28 to 426 of the family's 1533-position model. The record is from RNAcentral.